Long non-coding RNA from Salmo salar (Atlantic salmon), 1080 nucleotides. RefSeq lists it as uncharacterized. The record is from RefSeq and is a predicted model, not a curated record. NCBI's taxonomy places the organism in Eukaryota, Metazoa, Chordata, Actinopteri, Salmoniformes, Salmonidae.
AACGUUGUUUUAGAGAAAUAAAUAUAUAGUUUUGUUUGCAUGGACCUCCUUUGAUGUUGCACAAUCAUAUAUCUUCUUUAACCACAAAUGUUUCCAGAUGAAAUACAGAGAAAUGUUCUUUGCGAAUUAAUGGGCAAGGCUUUGGCAACUUUGCAUUCAUGGGCGGCUCCCGUUCUGUAAUGUGGGCUGGCCAAGGUUGUUUCCUGGAUGGACGUUAUAUAAGGCCUGACUCACCCUCAGCUGUAGUCAGACUCUACACAGCCAGAUCAGACCAAGGAUAGCAAACCCAGGAUUGUAGACCCAGGACUAACCCAGGACAGCAGUUUCCUCUAGUAUCUGACCCAUAAGACACCUCACCUGUCUGCAAUAUGAAGAACCUGGUUCUGGGACUCUGCACACUGGCCCUGCUGGCCUCCACCAUGGCACAGAGUUCUACAACACCAACAACUGAGCAACAUAAUUCUACAAUAGGAUCAACAAAUGACCAAAAGAAUUCUACAAUACGACCAACAACUGACCAAAAGAAUUCUACAAUACGACCAACAACUGACCAACAUAAUUCUACAAUAGGACAAACAACUGACCUAAAGAAUUCUACAAUACGACCAACAACUGCCGAACCAAAAGCCACAAUGUCAACCACUCUCACCACACCAGCAGGGGGAAGCCAUGUCUUCAGUUACUCCCUGACUCUACUGUUUGGUUCGACAGCCACCCUGAUCCUGCGUUCACGAUGGCAAUGAUCGCCACCUCGACGACAAGAGUCACAUCCUGAGAGCGUGUUGGAAACUGAAUGAAGAGCACUGGAGAAUGAUCUGUACAGCUUUCUCUUUUCUCUGACAAUGUGUUUUUACAAUGCCCUUGAGGUUUGUGUGUCUUCUGUGUAUUUCAAGAUGCAUAAUUAACAUACUCUGGUUGAUAAGGUAUAUUGCAAUGCCUAAAAUAUAUGAAUGUUUUAUAAUCAUUCAAGCUGUGAGUUCCUUUGAACAAAAUAGCUAACUAUACAAAUUGUGAAUGAUUUAUUUUCUCAUAGUACAAAUGUUGAUCAGUACCCAAAUAAAAUGUUUUUUUCUUUUCGUA